CUUUACAGCCAUACCACCCUGAACGGGCCUGAUCGCAUCUGAUCUCGGAAGCUAAGCAGAGUCGGGCCUGGUUAGUACUUAGAUGGGAGACCACCUGAGAAUACUGGGUGCUGUAGGCU
Molecule: ribosomal RNA, 119 nt
Organism: Pteropus vampyrus (large flying fox)
Lineage: Eukaryota; Metazoa; Chordata; Mammalia; Chiroptera; Pteropodidae
Source: Ensembl